AUCUACAUUAUAAUUUCCACUUAUAAAACGUUCAUGUCUGUGUGCAUAAGGCAUAACAGGUCUAUAUCUAGGAAAAUGGAUCCAUUUUUCUCCUUUUGAUUUGGCUCCUAUUAACAUUGUUAUAAUACAGUUUCUUCGAUAAAUAAUAACAACAUCAUACUAUGUCAGUGAUUGACUGCUGCCCUGUUUCUAUUUUCAAACAGACAACCAGACAUCAUGUGUGGGGGCAGCUGCUAACACCCCAUCAUCAGUUAAGCACAGAGAAGCUGUGUCUCGGCUCAGUGGAUUUCCUUCUUGAGGCAUAAAAUGCAGAGGCGGUCUGAAGGUGCAGACUGCAGUCUCAAUUUAUUCUACGUAGAAAACAGACGCUACUGAAGUCGCACUUGCAGUCAGAACUCCGGGCCCCUCGGGGCGUGACUGCCCAGCUGUGUCACCCGGAGCAGCUCAUGCUGCUUCUAAGCUCAGCUUCCUUGUUGGCAAAGGGCCCUACUGUGUGGCACACGCCGUGCACGUCAGGACAAGCACAACGCAUGGCGCACACCACCUGCUGGGAGAGGCAAUUGUGCACUCUACAGCCACAGGGACAGGACACAGCGCGGUGAGCCCACCCGGUCCAGGAGCGCUGGGAAAGGGCCCCAGGAGAGGCAGCAGAGCUGAGACAGGACGACGACCAGGAGCGACCAGGAAGGGGAGGAGGAGAGUGCUCUGGGCAGAGGGGACAGCGUGUACAAAGGCCCGGAGUGAAGGAGACAAAGAAGAAAGAAUAAGCAAACACACAAGUAAGACAGUGCCGCCUUCCAGGAAAGAAAAGGAGCCAGCUGAUGUGGCGAGUGGCUGGCGAGGCUGGGCUGGGCAGUGGAGGACAGUCAGGUCGGCAGUGGCGACUCUGGGAAGGUGUCAACCAUGCGGGGACCCGGGGGAAGAGCAUUCCAUUCAAAAGGACAGGCGUGCAAAGGCCCUGGGGUGGGAAUGCACUUGAUGUGGCGCAGAGCAAGGCAGACGCAUGGCGGGAGCGGAGUGGAAUGGGCGGGGAGUGGCCCAGAGUGCGGCAGGGUGGGCAGGGGAAGAAGGGCGUGUAGAUCUUACUUGAAAUGCAGAGGAAGCCCCGAGAGGGUUCGAGCACAGGGUGACACCACCUGACGGCCACGUCGAAUAUUACUCUGGCUGCUGUGUGCAGCUGGGGGCGGCUGGGAGGCUGGCGCUGGCCUCCGGGGUAGACAGUGAAACCAGGGGCAAGGCUGGUGAUGGUGACGAUGGGUACCGGUGGAAAUCGGACGUGAGCUGCAGGUGGAGCCGGCAUCCCCCGGGGAGGACUGGCAGAGGGUGGAGCUCUGUCCUGCCAGGAGUGCCGUGAAAAUGCACAGACGCUCACACCUAGAUCCUGCAGAUACCACGUGUCCCCAGCCUUCACCCACGCGGCUCAGGGAAGCUGCUUCCCCCUAGCAGACGCAGCAGCCGUGGAAAUGACCACAGAGGACACACGGCUGUGCAGCCCUGGUUGGGCACCUGCUCCAGGGACCUGGCAACCACCACAUCCCGUGCCCCUGCAAGCCCCUGUGGCCACCCAGGCCUGUCAGCCAAGGCAAGAGGGACACACACUCCCGUCUUCACUGAGAACCUGCCUGGCUGCCUCCGUCACUGCACACCUGCGCAACCCAGCCCAGCAGAGGACAAGAAUUCCCUGCGUUCAGGGGGCUCCGAAAAGACAUAAGGAACCCAACCCUGCAUGCCACGCUCUGAGCGGGAAGGAAGGCCGCAUGUGGACGCCUGUCCUGCUCACUGUGCCUCCAGGGCUCUGACGGUGCUGAGCACAGAUGUGGUGCUUGGGCAGUGCUUGUGGGGUGCAUGAUGGAAGGGCACCCUGGCCCCAGCAAUGACCAGCUCUAGAAACCCCUCCGGCCUGGAAGUCCUUCCUUCCCACCCCACCCCAGCCCCUGCCACACAAAAACAAGACAAUCCCAUCUGGACACAGCUACAGGGGACCCACCCAACGGCCCUGCCCGCACAAAAAAAGAGCUCGGGCAGGGCCAGCCUGGUCUGCACACGGAGGGUGGGCAUGCAGGAGACCCAGGGCACUGCCUGGCACGAGCCAUGAAUGUCCUGGAGGGCAGGGCGGGGCUCGUCGCGCGCCAUUUAGCUCGGGAGGAGAGGAAGCUGCAAAUGAAGUGGUCUCUGUGACGGGGUGGCGAUUUCUCUAAUAAGCGUCACCUCUGUGACGGGGUGGCGAUUUCUCUAAUAAGCGUCACCUCUGUGACGGGGUGGCGAUUUCUCUAAUAAGCGUCACCUCUGUGACGGGGUGGCGAUUUCUCUAAUAAGCGUCACCUCUGUGACGGGGUGGCGAUUUCUCUAAUAAGCGUCACCUCUGUGACGGGGUGGCGAUUUCUCUAAUAAGCGUCACCUCUGUGACGGGGUGGCGAUUUCUCUAAUAAGCGUCACCUCUGUGACGGGGUGGCGAUUUCUCUAAUAAACGUCAUCUCUGUGAUGGGGUGGCGAUUUCUCUAAUAAAUGUCAUCUCUGUGACGGGGUGGUGAUUUCUCUAAUAAGCAUAAUCGUCACUGCCCCACCAUAGGGAGAGGAAGCAGAGGGGCCCUGGAGGAAGCACAGUGAGCAACCACGUGGAGCUGCAGAGCCCUCUCCGCUCACUGCUGUCCUAAGAGGGCAGCCGAGAGUUCGUGUGCAGGUGCUGGCACCCGGGCCUGCAGCAAGAACACUCGGGGAAAAGGCCACACAGCGGUGGGGGACGUGUCAGCGGAGGCAUCGCAUGUACUUCCAGGGUACCAAAGUGAGUUGUGAAACCUCCUACUACGCUGAAUUUUCAAAGCAGGCGUCAGAACCCGUGAGAUGAUUCGUGCUCGUGGAGGAUCUAGGCGGGGUCGCGAGUGGCACAAUAAGCUGUGGACCUGUGAGACUGUCUUUGAAUAGAGCUGUUUUGUGAGCUCUGCCUCCACCGCCAGGGUGGAGAGGGAACGUCUGCCGCCUACUGAAUGCCUGUGUAGCCUAGGAGAGGGCUUCAGUAGAGCCUGGGGGAGCCCUGUGUGCCCCUUGCGGGGGACAGGGUUGGAGCUGGUGCCUGACACUUGGAGAAGGACAUUUGGGCUGUGUCUCAGGGCUAAGGGCUGCAUUUUGGAAAGCAAUGUCACCCCCUCUAUCUGUGGGGCACAGCGGCAGGAACCCCAGAGCCAAGGGUGGAGGCUGCGAUAGGAGAGAAGUCAGGCUGGUUCAUCUGAAGGCCUCCCUUCCGGGGCAGCAGUUCACCAAACAGACACAAAUGGCUCCCCAGCUUCCCACAGGGAAGGCAGGUAGGCACCUGGCAUGUGCGGGGACGAGGCAAUGACACCUCUCAGGGUUUCCGAGUGUUGGCAGAAGUGACCCGGAUGUUUGGUAUGCAGAGCUGGCCCCUGGGGAGAAGCCAAGUCACUUCCUGAGGUUUUGGGGAGACAAGGUGUUGACACCCAGGCCCAACCCUGGGGGCACAAGAAUCAAAGACACAGAGAUCCAUGGAGGUGGCCCUGGGGGUCCAGUACAAUGGGAUGGUGGAGAGGGGCC
Molecule: long non-coding RNA, 3546 nt
Filed under: Homo sapiens (human)
Lineage: Eukaryota; Metazoa; Chordata; Mammalia; Primates; Hominidae
Description: HSALNT0197523
Source: RNAcentral